Molecule: ribosomal RNA, 434 nt
Filed under: uncultured Pseudobutyrivibrio sp.
Lineage: Bacteria; Bacillati; Bacillota; Clostridia; Lachnospirales; Lachnospiraceae
Description: partial 16S ribosomal RNA
Rfam family: Bacterial small subunit ribosomal RNA
Source: RNAcentral
ACGGGAGGCAGCAGUGGGGAAUAUUGCACAAUGGGCGAAAGCCUGAUGUAGCGACGCCGCGUGAGCGAUGAAGUAUUUCGGUAUGUAAAGCUCUAUCAGCAGGGAAGAUAAUGACGGUACCUGACUAAGAAGCACCGGCUAAAUACGUGCCAGCAGCCGCGGUAAUACGUAUGGUGCAAGCGUUAUCCGGAUUUACUGGGUGUAAAGGGAGCGUAGGCGGCAUGGCAAGUCUGAUGUGAAAACCCAGGGCUCAACCUUGGGAUUGCAUUGGAAACUGUCAAGCUAGAGUGUCGGAGGGGUAAGUGGAAUUCCCAGUGUAGCGGUGAAAUGCGUAGAUAUUGGGAGGAACACCAGUGGCGAAGGCGGCUUACUGGACGAUUACUGACGCUGAGGCUCGAAAGCGUGGGGAGCAAACAGGAUUAGAUACCCUGGUA